ACGCGAAGAACCUUACCGAGGCUUGAACUGUCGGUGACAACCCUGGAAACAGGGCCUUCCUUCGGGACGCCGGUAGAGGUGCUGCAUGGCUGUCGUCAGCUCGUGUCGUGAGAUGUUGGGUUAAGUCCCGCAACGAGCGCAACCCUUGCCCUUAGUUACCAUCGGGUCAUGCCGGGGACUCUAAGGGGACUGCCCCGGAAAACGGGGAGGAAGGUGGGGAUGACGUCAAGUCCUCAUGGCCUUUAUGUCUCGGGCUACACACGUGCUACAAUGGGCGACACAAAGGGUCGCAAUGCCGCGAGGCUGAGCUAAUCCCAAAAAAUCGCCCUCAGUUCGGAUUGGAGUCUGCAACUCGACUCCAUGAAGUUGGAAUCGCUAGUAAUCGCGGAUCAGCACGCCGCGGUGAAUACGUUCCCGGGCCUUGUACACACCGCCCGUC
This 439-nucleotide ribosomal RNA is filed under the name uncultured bacterium. RNAcentral describes it as "bacterial SSU rRNA". It matches the Rfam family "Bacterial small subunit ribosomal RNA", at positions 959 to 1398 of the family's 1533-position model. The record is from RNAcentral.